UACAGAGGGUGCGAGCGUUAAUCGGAAUUACUGGGCGUAAAGCGCACGUAGGUGGCGACGUAAGUCGGGUGUGAAAGCCCCGGGCUCAACCUGGGAAUUGCAUUCGAGACUGCAUUGCUGGAGUACGGAAGAGGAGGGCGGAAUUCCCGGUGUAGCGGUGAAAUGCGUAGAUAUCGGGAGGAACAUCAGUGGCGAAGGCGGCCCUCUGGACAGUUCCUGAUGCUGAGGCACGAAGGCCAGGGGAGCAAACGGG
This 253-nucleotide ribosomal RNA is filed under the name uncultured bacterium. RNAcentral describes it as "partial 16S ribosomal RNA". It matches the Rfam family "Bacterial small subunit ribosomal RNA", at positions 524 to 776 of the family's 1533-position model. The record is from RNAcentral.